This 440-nucleotide ribosomal RNA is filed under the name uncultured bacterium. RNAcentral's name for it is "partial 16S ribosomal RNA". It matches the Rfam family "Bacterial small subunit ribosomal RNA", at positions 338 to 795 of the family's 1533-position model. The record is from RNAcentral.
CCUACGGGUGGCAGCAGUGGGGAAUAUUGCACAAUGGGGGAAACCCUGAUGCAGCGACGCCGCGUGAGUGAAGGAGUAUUGCGGUAUGUAAAGCUCUGUCAGCAGGGAAGAAAAUGACGGUACCGGACCAAGAAGCCCCGGCUAACUACGUGCCAGCAGCCGCGGUAAUACGUAGGGGGCAAGCGUUAUCCGGCUUUACUGGGUGUAAAGGGAGCGUAGACGGCAGGGCAAGUCUGGAGUGAAAGGCGGGGGCUCAACCCCCGGACUGCUCUGGAAACUGCCAGGCUGGAGUGCAGGAGAGGUAAGUGGAAUUCCUAGUGUAGCGGUGAAAUGCGUAGAUAUUAGGAGGAACACCAGUGGCGAAGGCGGCUUACUGGACUGUAACUGACGUUGAGGCUCGAAAGCGUGGGGAGCAAACAGGAUUAGAUACCCGGGUAGUC